UCUAAUAUGGCAGAUUAGUGCAAUGGGCUUAAAACUCAUACAUGAUUAACAUCUAUUAGAA
This 61-nucleotide transfer RNA is filed under the name Colpocephalum spinicollis. RNAcentral describes it as "tRNA-Leu". Lineage: Eukaryota; Metazoa; Arthropoda; Insecta; Psocodea; Menoponidae. The record is from RNAcentral.